GGAACUUACCAUGCAGUCGACGGUGAAGCCCAGCUUGCUGGGUGGAUCAGUGGCGAACGGGUGAGUAACACGUGAGCAACCUGCCCUGGACUCUGGGAUAAGCGCUGGAAACGGCGUCUAAUACUGGAUAUGAGCUCUCAUCGCAUGGUGGGGGUUGGAAAGAUUUUUCGGUCUGGGAUGGGCUCGCGGCCUAUCAGCUUGUUGGUGAGGUAAUGGCUCACCAAGGCGUCGACGGGUAGCCGGCCUGAGAGGGUGACCGGCCACACUGGGACUGAGACACGGCCCAGACUCCUACGGGAGGCAGCAGUGGGGAAUAUUGCACAAUGGGCGGAAGCCUGAUGCAGCAACGCCGCGUGAGGGAUGACGGCCUUCGGGUUGUAAACCUCUUUUAGCAAGGAAGAAGCGUGAGUGACGGUACUUGCAGAAAAAGCGCCGGCUAACUACGUGCCAGCAGCCGCGGUAAUACGUAGGGCGCAAGCGUUAUCCGGAAUUAUUGGGCGUAAAGAGCUCGUAGGCGGUUUGUCGCGUCUGCUGUGAAAUCCCGAGGCUCAACCUCGGGCCUGCAGUGGGUACGGGCAGACUAGAGUGCGGUAGGGGAGAUUGGAAUUCCUGGUGUAGCGGUGGAAUGCGCAGAUAUCAGGAGGAACACCGAUGGCGAAAGGCAGAUCUCUGGGCCGUAACUGACGCUGAGGAGCGAAAGGGUGGGGAGCAAACAGGCUUAGAUACCCUGGUAGUCCACCCCGUAAACGUUGGGAACUAGUUGUGGGGUCCUUUCCACGGAUUCCGUGACGCAGCUAACGCAUUAAGUUCCCCGCCUGGGGAGUACGGCCGCAAGGCUAAAACCUCAAAGGAAUGACCGGGACCCGCACAAGCGGCGGAGCAUGGCGGAUAAUUCGAUGCACGCGAAGAACCUUACCAACUUGACAUAAACGAAAACAUCCUA
RNAcentral lists this ribosomal RNA (943 nucleotides) under Microbacterium takaoensis. Its description in RNAcentral is "bacterial SSU rRNA". It matches the Rfam family "Bacterial small subunit ribosomal RNA", at positions 46 to 1003 of the family's 1533-position model. The record is from RNAcentral. Lineage: Bacteria; Bacillati; Actinomycetota; Actinomycetes; Micrococcales; Microbacteriaceae.